This 253-nucleotide ribosomal RNA is filed under the name uncultured bacterium. RNAcentral's name for it is "partial 16S ribosomal RNA". It matches the Rfam family "Bacterial small subunit ribosomal RNA", at positions 524 to 776 of the family's 1533-position model. The record is from RNAcentral.
UACGAAGGGGGCUAGCGUUGCUCGGAAUCACUGGGCGUAAAGCGCACGUAGGCGGGUCGUUAAGUCGGGGGUGAAAUCCUGGAGCUCAACUCCAGAACUGCCUUCGAUACUGGCGACCUUGAGUCCGGGAGAGGUGAGUGGAACUCCGAGUGUAGAGGUGAAAUUCGUAGAUAUUCGGAAGAACACCAGUGGCGAAGGCGGCUCACUGGCCCGGUACUGACGCUGAGGUGCGAAAGCGUGGGGAGCAAACAGG